GAUGAAGAACGUAGCGAAAUGCGAUAAGUAGUGUGAAUUGCAGAAUUCAGUGAAUCAUCGAAUCUUUGAACGCACCUUGCGCCCCUUGGUUAUUCCAAAGGGCAUGCCUGUUUGAGUAUCAUGAACACCUCAACUCUUGUGGUUUCCCACAAUGAGCUUGGCCUGUGGAGGUUUUGUUGGCCCUGUGGUCAGCUCCUCUCAAAUGGAUCAGCUUACCGGUGUUUGGUGGCAUUACGGGUGUGAUAACUAUCUACGCUCGUGGUCGUCUCCAAAUAACCUCCAGUGAUGGAGGUUCGCUGGAGCUUAUAAAUGUCUCUCCCCAGUGAAGACAGCCUUUGAACGUUCGAUCUCAAAUCAGGUAGGACUACCCGCUGAACUUAAGCAUAUCAAUAAGCGGAGGA
Molecule: unclassified non-coding RNA, 401 nt
Filed under: soil metagenome
Description: partial contains 5.8S ribosomal RNA, internal transcribed spacer 2, and large subunit ribosomal RNA
Rfam family: 5.8S ribosomal RNA (bases 1-121)
Source: RNAcentral